CGCGGCCUAUCAGCUUGUUGGUGAGGUAAUGGCUCACCAAGGCGACGACGGGUAGCCGGCCUGAGAGGGUGACCGGCCACACUGGGACUGAGACACGGCCCAGACUCCUACGGGAGGCAGCAGUGGGGAAUAUUGCACAAUGGGCGCAAGCCUGAUGCAGCGACGCCGCGUGAGGGAUGACGGCCUUCGGGUUGUAAACCUCUUUCAGUAGGGAAGAAGCGAAAGUGACGGUACCUGCAGAAGAAGCGCCGGCUAACUACGUGCCAGCAGCCGCGGUAAUACGUAGGGCGCAAGCGUUAUCCGGAAUUAUUGGGCGUAAAGAGCUCGUACGCGGUUUGUCGCGUCUGCCGUGAAAGUCCGGGGCUCAACUCCGGACCUGCGGUGGGUACGGGCAGACUAGAGUGUGGUAGGGGAGACUGGGAUUCCUGGUGUAGCGGUGAAAUGCGCAGAUAUCAGGAGGAACACCGGUGGCGAAGGCGGUUCUCUGGGCAUUACCUGACGCUGAGGAGCGAAAGUGUGGGGAGCGAACAGGAUUAGAUACCCUGGUAGUCCACACCGUAAACGUUGGGCACUAGGUGUGGGGGACAUUCCACGUUUUCCGCGCCGUAGCUAACGCAUUAAGCACCCCGCCUGGGGAGUACGG
RNAcentral lists this ribosomal RNA (643 nucleotides) under uncultured Actinomycetes bacterium. Its description in RNAcentral is "bacterial SSU rRNA". It matches the Rfam family "Bacterial small subunit ribosomal RNA", at positions 232 to 885 of the family's 1533-position model. The record is from RNAcentral. Lineage: Bacteria; Bacillati; Actinomycetota; Actinomycetes.